This 468-nucleotide ribosomal RNA is filed under the name uncultured bacterium. RNAcentral describes it as "partial 16S ribosomal RNA". It matches the Rfam family "Bacterial small subunit ribosomal RNA", at positions 28 to 507 of the family's 1533-position model. The record is from RNAcentral.
GACGAACGCUGGCGGCGUGCUUAACACAUGCAAGUCGAACGGAAAGGCCCGGCUUUUGUGGGGUGCUCGAGUGGCGAACGGGUGAGAAACACGUGUGUAACCUGCCCUUGACUUUCGGAUAACUUCUGGAAACUGGGGCUAAUACCGCUUAUGAGCUCCUGCUGCAUGGUGUGGGUUGGAAAGUUUCGGCGGUUGGGGAUGGACUCGCGGCUUAUCAGCUUGUUGGUGGGGUAGUGGCUUACGAAGUCUGUGACGGGUAGCCGGCCUGGGAGGGGGGCCGGCGACAUGGCGACUGCGAUACGGCGCAGAAGCCUACGGGAGGCAUGAGUGGGGAGCAUUGCACAGUGGGCGGGAGCCUGAGGCAGCGAUGCCGGGUGCGGGAUGAUGGCCUUCGGGUGGUAAACCGCUUUCGCCUGUGAUGAAGCGGUAGUGACGGUAAUGGUUAAAGAAGCACCGGCUAACUACGUG